This 65-nucleotide transfer RNA is filed under the name Pristolycus diversecostatus. RNAcentral's name for it is "tRNA-Asp". Lineage: Eukaryota; Metazoa; Arthropoda; Insecta; Coleoptera; Lampyridae. The record is from RNAcentral.
AAAAAUUUAGUUAAUGAAUAACAUUAACUUGUCAAGUUAAAGUAAUUAAUAUUUAAUAAUUUUUA